Molecule: long non-coding RNA, 422 nt
Filed under: Crocodylus porosus (Australian saltwater crocodile)
Lineage: Eukaryota; Metazoa; Chordata; Crocodylia; Crocodylidae
Description: lncRNA (ENSCPRG00005009786.1)
Source: RNAcentral
GCAAAAGGAAAAAAGAUGGAGCUGAGCGCUACCAAAUAGAGUGGCUACUGCUGUUGUGAAAGAUGCAGUGACAUUGGAAUACACUGAGCCAAGAGAAGAGGACGUGGCAGGUUAUGGUCCAAAGAAGUCUCCUGCCCUCUCUGAGGGGGAGGAUGAUGCUACACACCAAGGAUCUGCAGUGUGAAAUUGCGGAGGUGUUUGGAGAUUUCAGAGAAAAAACUCCAAGAGAGGCCUGGGCUAUGACUCAGCCCCUUGGGAACCCUUGGGGUGUUUCCCCCACCCCCUCAUUUAAGAAUUCACUGAUCUUCCUGGAAAAUAUGAACCAUGAGAACAUCCAGCCACCAUUAGAUAAGUAUUACAGUGACUCACAUUGUCAUAGUAUUGAUAGAGACGGCCUUUAUAAAAAGAUAGCAGUCCAGUAG